GAGGUUAUAGCUCAAGCGAUAGAGCUCAUGCUUAGCAUGCACGAGGUCCUGGGUUAAAUUCCUAGUACCUCCU
This is a non-coding RNA of Camelus ferus (Wild Bactrian camel), 73 nucleotides long. The record is from Rfam. Lineage: Eukaryota; Metazoa; Chordata; Mammalia; Artiodactyla; Camelidae.